This 468-nucleotide ribosomal RNA is filed under the name uncultured bacterium. RNAcentral describes it as "partial 16S ribosomal RNA". It matches the Rfam family "Bacterial small subunit ribosomal RNA", at positions 28 to 507 of the family's 1533-position model. The record is from RNAcentral.
GACGAACGCUGGCGGCGUGCUUAACACAUGCAAGUCGAACGGACAGGCCCUGCUUUUGUGGGGUGCUCGUGUGGCGCACGGGUGAGUAACACGUGUGUAACCUGCCCUUGACUUUGUGAUAUCUUCUGGAAACUGGGGCUCUUACCGCAUAGGAGCUCCUGCUGCAUGGUGGGGGUUGGUAAGUUUCGGCGGUUGGGGAUGGACGGGCGGGUUAUCCGCUUGUUGGUGGGGUAGUGGCUUACCAAGGUUUUGACGGGUAGCCGGCCUGAGAGGGUGACCAGCGACAAUGGGACUGAGAGACGGCGCAGAAGGCUACGGGAGGCAGCAGUGGGGAAUAUUGCAGAAUGGGCGGAAGCGAGAGGCAGCAACGCCGCGAGCGGAAAGACGGCCUUCGGGGGGAAAACCGCUUUGGACGGAGACGAAGCGUGAGUGACGGUAAUGGGUAAAGAAGCACCGGCUAACUACGUG